UCGAGAAUUUUUCUCAAUGGGCGCAAGCCUGAAGGAGCGACGCCGCGUGGGGGAUGAAGGGCUUCGGCUCGUAAACCCCUGUCAUUUGUGAACAAACCUCGCGGUUGAACAAACCGUGGGCUGAUUGUAGCGAAAGAGGAAGGGACGGCUAACUCUGUGCCAGCAGCCGCGGUAAUACAGAGGUCCCAAGCGUUGUUCGGAUUCACUGGGCGUAAAGGGUGCGUAGGUGGUCGGGUAAGUUCGGUGUGAAAUCUCCAGGCUUAACUUGGAAACGGCAUCGAAAACUACUUGGCUAGAGGAUCGGAAGGGAGACUGGAAUUCUCGGUGUAGCAGUGAAAUGCGUAGAUAUCGAGAGGAACACCAGUGGCGAAGGCGAGUCUCUGGACGAUUCCUGACGCUGAGGCACGAAAGCUAGGGGAGCAAACAG
RNAcentral lists this ribosomal RNA (427 nucleotides) under uncultured bacterium. RNAcentral describes it as "bacterial SSU rRNA". It matches the Rfam family "Bacterial small subunit ribosomal RNA", at positions 355 to 775 of the family's 1533-position model. The record is from RNAcentral.